UAGGGAAUCUUCCACAGUGGGCGAAAGCCUGAUGGAGCAACGCCGCGUGUGUGAUGAAGGGUUUCGGCUCGUAAACACUGUUGUAAGAGAAGAAUGACAUUGAGAGUAACUGUUCAAUGUGUGACGGUAUCUUACCAGAAAGGAACGGCUAAAUACGUGCCAC
This 163-nucleotide ribosomal RNA is filed under the name uncultured bacterium. RNAcentral describes it as "partial 16S rRNA". It matches the Rfam family "Bacterial small subunit ribosomal RNA", at positions 355 to 511 of the family's 1533-position model. The record is from RNAcentral.